GACGAGGCACUACGGUGCUGAAGCAACAAAUGCCCUGCUUCCAGGAAAAGCCUCUAAGCAUCAGGUAACAUCAAAUCGUACCCCAAACCGACACAGGUGGUCAGGUAGAGAAUACCAAGGCGCUUGAGAGAACUCGGGUGAAGGAACUAGGCAAAAUGGUGCCGUAACUUCGGGAGAAGGCACGCUGACACGUAGGUGAAGUGAUUUACUCACGGAGCUGAAGUCAGUCGAAGAUACCAGCUGGCUGCAACUGUUUAUUAAAAACACAGCACUGUGCAAACACGAAAGUGGACGUAUACGGUGUGACGCCUGCCCGGUGCCGGAAGGUUAAUUGAUGGGGUCAGCGCAAGCGAAGCUCCUGAUCGAAGCCCCGGUAAACGGCGGCCGUAACUAUAACGGUCCUAAGGUAGCGAAAUUCCUUGUCGGGUAAGUUCCGACCUGCACGAAUGGCGUAAUGAUGGCCAGGCUGUCUCCACCCGAGACUCAGUGAAAUUGAACUCGCUGUGAAGAUGCAGUGUACCCGCGGCAAGACGGAAAGACCCCGUGAACCUUUACUAUAGCUUGACACUGAACAUUGAGCCUUGAUGUGUAGGAUAGGUGGGAGGCUUUGAAGCGUGGACGCCAGUCUGCGUGGAGCCGACCUUGAAAUACCACCCUUUAAUGUUUGAUGUUCUAACGUGGACCCGUGAUCCGGGUUGCGGACAGUGUCUGGUGGGUAGUUUGACUGGGGCGGUCUCCUCCUAAAGAGUAACGGAGGAGCACGAAGGUUGGCUAAUCCUGGUCGGACAUCAGGAGGUUAGUGCAAUGGCAUAAGCCAGCUUGACUGCGAGCGUGACGGCGCGAGCAGGUGCGAAAGCAGGUCAUAGUGAUCCGGUGGUUCUGAAUGGAAGGGCCAUCGCUCAACGGAUAAAAGGUACUCCGGGGAUAACAGGCUGAUACCGCCCAAGAGUUCAUAUCGACGGCGGUGUUUGGCACCUCGAUGUCGGCUCAUCACAUCCUGGGGCUGAAGUAGGUCCCAAGGGUAUGGCUGUUCGCCAUUUAAAGUGGUACGCGAGCUGGGUUUAGAACGUCGUGAGACAGUUCGGUCCCUAUCUGCCGUGGGCGCUGGAGAACUGAGGGGGGCUGCUCCUAGUACGAGAGGACCGGAGUGGACGCAUCACUGGUGUUCGGGUUGUCAUGCCAAUGGCACUGCCCGGUAGCUAAAUGCGGAAGAGAUAAGUGCUGAAAGCAUCUAAGCACGAAACUUGCCCCGAGAUGAGUUCUCCCUGAGACUUUAGGUCUCCUGAAGGAACGUUGAAGACGACGACGUUGAUAGGCCGGGUGUGUAAGCGCAGCGAUGCGUUGAGCUAACCGGUACUAAUGAACCGUGAGGCUUAACCUUACAACGCCGAAG
RNAcentral lists this ribosomal RNA (1393 nucleotides) under Salmonella enterica. Its description in RNAcentral is "partial 23S ribosomal RNA". It matches the Rfam family "Bacterial large subunit ribosomal RNA", at positions 1568 to 2925 of the family's 2925-position model. Lineage: Bacteria; Pseudomonadati; Pseudomonadota; Gammaproteobacteria; Enterobacterales; Enterobacteriaceae. The record is from RNAcentral.